This 254-nucleotide ribosomal RNA is filed under the name uncultured bacterium. RNAcentral describes it as "partial 16S ribosomal RNA". It matches the Rfam family "Bacterial small subunit ribosomal RNA", at positions 524 to 776 of the family's 1533-position model. The record is from RNAcentral.
GACGGGGGGGGCAAGUGUUCUUCGGAAUGACUGGGCGUAAAGGGCGCGUAGGCGGCCACCGCAAGUCGACUGUGAAAUCUCCGGGCUUAACCCGGAAAGGUCAGCCGAUACUGCGGGGCUAGAGUGCAGAAGGGGCAACUGGAAUUCUCGGUGUAGCGGUGAAAUGCGUAGAUAUCGAGAGGAACACCUGCGGCGAAGGCGGGUUGCUGGGCUGACACUGACGCUGAUGCGCGAAAGCUAGGGGAGCGAACGGG